AACUUUUUCUUGAGUUAUUAGCAUUUAUACACAAAGUAUGCCCGUGGACUUUGGUAUUAAUAAGUUUCAGCCAAUGAUGGCACAGCAAGAAACUGUACAGAUAGUUGCAUUGUAUGAAUCCAAUCCUGUAUUAACGCAUUACUUCAGCAGAGUAUCAGAGAUGUCUCCUGACUUAAGUCAUGCACCAUUUCUCACUGUUAAAGCAGCCAACUCUCACAUUCUGUAUGUGCGGUAGUGGUGUUUUAUCACCACCUUUGUUCCACAAAUGAGGAAAAUAGAAAUGAAAGCAAAGUCCUUGUUGGAGGGACUCUAUCUCCUAGAAAGGCACUGAUUCAUUACCAAAAAAUAUAGCAUUACUAUGUUAAUGUUUUUCCUUAACUCAGAGUCUAAUUUUCAGUGCUUUGCUAUCGAUCAGUGGCUCAUUGUUGUGUAGGAUAUGUGUUAAAUGGGCUAUAAUUAUAUGGAUACCAGCAGCCGUCACUGAGCCAACAGGUUGCACUGAAUCUCAUCUUGUGAUCUGCCGACUUCAGAAAGGUGAUGAUUCAGGUAUGGAGCUUGAUGCUCAGGCUAUUUCUGUGCAUUAGAGUGAUAGAUGUACCUUUGCAGAAAGAAACUCUUCUUCAUCCAACCCUCAUCCAGAAGACCUGUCACUCUCUUCCAAAUAUAAGAAAGCAGCAAAUCCCUCCAGCUGUAUGAUAGAGGACAGGAGUGUGUCAUGGUCCAGUCAUCCCUGUCCUAGCCUUCACCUCUAGAAGACAAAGAAGGAGCAGCCACCACCUGUUGCAUCAGGUGGUGAGACGAGGCAAACCUACCUCCCUGCCUGCCUGGCCAUCCUCAGCCCUUCCCUCUUCUCCACCUCAGCCCUUGCUCACCCACUGCUUGCCUCCACCUGGGGCUGGCUGGCUCACCGGCACAGCCCUUUAUAUUCCCCCUAAGAAACCACCAACAUUCUGCCUACUUUGACACAGCCAACACAAUUUUGGGUUCCAGGAGCACUGAAUGCACAUUUUAUUCCCAGUUGUAAUGCCUAGAAUCUGUGGACAGGCAGCUCACCCAGGCUGCAUGGAACAGGGCCCAGCUGCCAGCACCACGCCCUGCAACAUCAUUUCAGGGGCUGUGCAGUCUCAUCUGACCUGGAGCUGCUAGACAAGAGCAGGGCAGCGCUGACACAAAUGGGAUACCAAAACCUUGCCACAGAAACCCAAUAGAAGAGAUUUUAAUAACAAGUUGGAUUUUGGGAGUUUCAUGCCAUUUAGCAGUACCUGGAAGCUACUUCAAAUUUUAAAACGUUUGUCUUUUUCCUCACAGAACUCACAAGUACAUAUAACCAUAACUUUUCUUAAAAAUCACAUUAUUACUUUAUAGGCAAAGACAGAUCUGACAGCUCUUUCAGCUCUUUAAUUACUUUAAUGCAUUCAGUUGGUCUUAUGCUUCUAGAGCCAUUAGAGCAAUGUAAAUAGUAUAGAAGUUUAUCAUUAAUUCUAAUGUACUUCAGAUCUGGGAACCAGGGAGCAUGACAUUGCUAGUUUUUAGGAACAUUCUAUCAGAGGUGUAUCUGUCGUAUGAAGAUAUUUCCAUUUCAGCUUACUUUGAUUUAAUAAUUUUAUACAUUUAUUCAGUGUGUCACAGAAUGACAUGAAAAUGUGUUAAUCCACAGAGUCUGUUCCUAGUCUCUUAAUUAUUCAGUUUUAUUGUUGAUGCCUGAAAUCUGCAUAAAUUCAUCUUGCAGUAUAAAUCUGCUAUACUCAGUAAUGCCCUCAGAAUUACUUCUGAUCUUUAAAUGUUUUCAGCUUGAAGAAACCUUGGCAAUCUCUUUCCAUAAAUCAAGCUUUAAAAAUCUUCUUCAUUAAAAUGAAAGUUUUUAAGGAUUUAUUUCCUGAAGGAUUCCUAUUUCCAACAUCCAUAGCUCUUAGGACAAUGCUUUAUACUCAGAUCUAUGCACAUGGGUUUUGGUUUGAGAAUGUUGUAACCUUGAUACCCCCAUUACAGUCUCAUUGGUAGACCUUUUGCCAGAGGAGAGAUUAUGCUGUUCAAGUGGCUGAGAGGUGUGCAUAAUGAUUGCUAAAGCUGAUGAGAUAUGACACCAAAACCCCACAAGCCAAAUCUUUUACCAGAGAAUCUCAUGCCUUGAAGAGAGAUAGAGAGAACUUUUUGUGUUAAAAAGCUUUGCUGGCUUCUCAGAAAUGUUUCCUUGGAGAUUUAGGAGCUGUUCUGUUUAAAGGUAUAAGAGGUCUGUUGUCCAAUUAUCAGUACCCUUAUCUAUUCAAUUUGAUUUUGCUCCUGAGCUUGAUACCUCUUUCUCUCUUCAUCCUCAAAUAGAGUUUUAAAAUAAAAAUAAUAAAUAAUUUAAGGAGAGGAGAGGAGAGGAGAGGAGAGGAGAGGAGAGGAGAGGAGAGGAGAGGAGAGGAGAGGAGAGGAGAGGAGAGGAGAGGAGAGGAGAGGAAAAAAGAAAAGAAAUAAAAAAAGAAAUAGGAAAAAAAAAAAAGAAGAAGAAAGAGCUAAGAACAGAUAUAUUGCCCACUCUCCCAAAACAUAUCUAACAGCGUUUCACCCCUUUGGCUCUCCAUUCUUCUGUUCUUUUAUAUCUAACUUCCCUUCCAAAACCAGUAACUUCUAAAUACACUUUUGUGUCCAACAGGGCAUGCUCAAUUUGUAAAGUUUCUCCCUUGUUUAUGCAUUUGUUGGAUUACUUAACUUUGCCUUCAGUCUCCUUCAAAAGAGAAGAAGAUAAAAGUCAACAGCAAUAGUAGUAGGUUGGAAGUUGAUUUUUACAUGAAAACAGCAAGCUUAAGUAAGGAUAUGACUAAAAUAAAAGAAGUAGAUAUCAUCAAAACAUGUUGAACUGGUUCUGGUAAUCUUGUUUCUCAUUGUUUCCACACCUUACCUGUGAUUUUACAUUCUCUUCACUGUAGACUUGUAGCCAUAGCACGAGAGGAUACCACCCGGUGUUUCCCUUCCAGAACAGUUCCUAAAGUCUCAUUUUGCCAUUCUGGGACAUCGUUGUUCAGUGUGGAAAGAAAGAAAAAAGGCACGAAUUACAGAGAAACCUUCCAUCCUUUCUGUAUUUUGUCCCAUUUUAUUCUGUUUUUCUACUUCCCUUUCUUAUGUCUUAUGUCUAUUCUUGCCUUCUAUUUGAUCCUGUGAUUUCACAGAGGCAGAAAAGGCAAGAGAAAAUAAUCAAGUGUCUUCUGCCACCAUUGCUGUGAAAACAUUGUCUGCAGGAGAGAAAGGGGAAAAUGUACCUGCAAAGGAAUUUAUUUGUAGAAUAUUUUUCCUGUAUGGAAUCUUUCUUCUACCUCAGACAACAAAAAUAUUUACCCAUAAAAGUAACAGCUGUCCAGCCGAGGGUUAUGGAGCCCCACAUCAAAAGGUUUUAAGGAGAGAGGGGACAUUUUUUUUCUUGGAGCUAUUCAACUCACUGAAAUAGGCCAGCUCAUUGUGACUAGAUAAACUGAAGCACUUGCAGAUUUACAGAUCUUUUACUAAAAUCACUUUCCCAAGCACAAGCUAACAUCAAGGCAUCAUGUUUUCAAACUCGUUCCAGUAUCAAAGUGUUUCCCAACAUGACUAUUAUGCUGUUUUCCAGAUGGGAUGGAGUUCUGUGAAAUCUCUGUUCUUUUUAUGCUGCUAAUCUUGCCUCAUGACUCAGAGACUGAAAGCCCUAAAUACUGUUGUUAAUCCACUGCAGUCUCUUUUCAGUCUUAGAAGUGCCUUUCCUCUAAUGAAACAAGUUAUAUGCUUUGCAGAAGAGAUCCCAUGAUUAUUUUUGCUUCUAAGCCUUCACUUGCAUAAUAGAAAAGGAGUUAGAUAUGCAGAGUUUGGGUAAGCAAAGUCCCUCCCAGCAAAGAUCAGAUUCAUGACCACCUGAGGAACUUGAACACCUACAAGUCUGUGGGUCCUGCUUAGAUGCAUUCCAGAGUCCUGAGGGAAUUAGCUGAUGCAGUUGCCAAGCCACUCUCGAUUAUAUUCAAAAACUUGUGGUGAUCAGGUGAAGUCACUGGUGACUGGAAAAAAGGCAACAUUACACUUAUUUUCAAGAAGACUAAAAAGGAUGACCCCAAGAACUACCGACCGGUCAGUCUCUCCUCUGUGCCAGGGAAGAUAACGGAGCAGAUCCUCCUGGAAGCUAUGCCAGGGCAAAUCCUGCUUGACCAACCUAGUGGCCUUUUCUGAUGGUGUAACUGCAUCAAUAGACAAGGGAAGCACCACUAUUAUCAUCUAUCUGGAUUUCAGUAAAGCCUUUGACAUGGUACCCAGGGAUUCCCUGUCCCUGGAGACUUUCAAGACGAGACUGAACCAGGCUCUGGGCAACCUGACCUAGCUGUGGUGUUCCUGUUCGCUACCAGGGGAGCUGGACUAGAUGGGCUUUAAAUGUCCAUUCCAACUCUAAUAAUUCUAUAGUUCUAUGAUUCUAUGUAUGUCACCUGCGUGUGACACUUGAGUCAAGCCCUCUGAGUGUGUAUGUGGUAUUGAUAUGUACUGUGUUAGUACAGUGGCUUUGCUCUAACAUCUCUAGGAGACAAAAAGAUAUCUGCUGCUCUACUAAGCCUUGCAUGGAGAAUAAUUAAGCGAAUGGUAAGCUUUGUGGGUGUUAGUUAAAACUUAAAUUUACAAUGACUGUGCAUGUAAUGAUGUAUAGUAUACUGCAAACCAGCUUUUAUGAUUAAUGUGCUCAAAAGAUAAUUAUCUACUGUGCAUUUUCUAUGUGCCUGUGAUUUAUAGACCUCACUGAAGAUGACAAAAAUACAUUCUGUGCCUACUCAAGUGUGCUGGGAAUAGCUAUCCUGUACCUUUUGAUAAGACGUGUUUGGACUUGCACACACAAACAUACAUGCACACAAACGAGCAUUAUACAUCUGAGGAUGGAUCUGGCUUUAUUUUACUUCCCUAAUUCAAUACUAAUAUUCAAUACUUCCCUAAUUCACUACAGUUGUCAUCUGUAUCUUCAUUUUUUUGUAAUUCAAAUAGUGAAAAGGAGCAACUGUGUAAAUAAUGAGUGACAGAAGUAACUUUCGCAUUUUUAAAAGCAUGUGCUAAAGGAAAGAGUCUAUUGCAUACUUAAUUCCUGUUCAAGGAUAUUAGAAAACAGAGCAACAAAACAUUUCCUUUUUAUUCUCUCUCUCUCACUCUCUUUUUUUUUUUUUUUUUUUUUUAAGACUGGGAAAUAAAAACAUUGAAUUUCUGCACUAGCUGGUGAGAUGGUGGGAUGCUAAUAAAAAGUCUGAAUAUCUAUUGACCCUAUGUUCCUAGACCUGCAAAUAGUCUGUAUGUAAUAGAACUGCACUAUAAAAGCUAUUUUUUGUUAAGGAAAACCUUUUUGUGUAUGCGUAAAUAAUUUAAAUUAGUAGCAGUUUCUUAGGAUAAUGAAUAUUCAUGUAUUUGGUAGCACUAAAGUUGGACAAAAUAAAAUAUCCAUUUGAUUCCUUAAAACAUAUGAUCAAGGGGCAUAUGAUCUAUUGGUUACACAGUCCAAAUGAGUUUCUAAGAUAUUUUAGGUUGUAGAAGAAGUUCAGCCCUGCGAAUUUACAGUGGAUGGAGACUUAUAAAUAGGAAAUACAUAAGACUUCGGAGCAACCAAAGUAAGACAAGU
RNAcentral lists this long non-coding RNA (5590 nucleotides) under Gallus gallus (chicken). RNAcentral's name for it is "lncRNA (ENSGALG00010007492.1)". The record is from RNAcentral. Lineage: Eukaryota; Metazoa; Chordata; Aves; Galliformes; Phasianidae.